AUACACUGAAGCUGCACUUUGCUUGUCAGCCAACAGCUACCAGGCGCCUGAAACCGAUAAAAUCCUGACAAGGCAGCCUGAUUGCUGAGGUUGGCAGAAAGCCAUACCAACCCCAAGAUAACCACCAUCAUCUUCCACCAAAAGAGUGAGGAAAUCAAGCCCUGAUUUGUUUUACUCAAAGCAGGCAGAAGCAGCAAGGGAGAAAGGCGAUGCAGCACAGUACCAGUGUGUACCUAAAAUAGAUGCCUGCCUUUUUGCUUUAGAAGACAAAAUGGAGCUGAUCACCAGUGAGAAGACUGAGCUCUCUCUCCUGCAGUGGGCUGCCGUGAGGAGUGCAGAACAAGAGGAUGCCCUCUUGUUCAAUUCCCAGCACCUCAAAAAGAAAAAGCGGGGAGGGAGAGACACCAAAAGCAUUACUUUUUGGUGAUGUUCUGGAAAAUACUGUGCUGUAAAUACAGAGGUUAACUGUCUUCUCUACCCCCGCCACUCCAAACC
This 495-nucleotide long non-coding RNA is filed under the name Fukomys damarensis (Damara mole-rat). RNAcentral describes it as "lncRNA (ENSFDAG00000028048.1)". Lineage: Eukaryota; Metazoa; Chordata; Mammalia; Rodentia; Bathyergidae. The record is from RNAcentral.